AGGGAGUUACGGUAGGCAAAUCCGCUGUAACAACUCUGAGGCGUGAUGGGGAAGGUCAUAUAGGCCGAAGUACAUGAUUCCAUGCUUCCAAGAAAAGCAUCUAGAGAGAGAAGUAGUGCCCGUGCCGCAAACCGACACAGGUAGAUGAGGAGAGAAUCCUAAGGCCGGCGGAAGAAUUGCAGUUAAGGAACUAGGCAAAUUGACCCCGUAAGUUCGCGAGAAGGGGUGCCUGCGAGAGCAGGCCGCAGAGAAUAGGCCCAAGCAACUGUUUAGCAAAAACACAGGUCUCUGCUAAAGCUUAAGCUGAUGUAUAGGGGCUGACGCCUGCCCGGUGCUGGAAGGUUAAGGGGAACACUUAGCGCAAGCGAAGGUGUGAACUUAAGCCCCAGUAAACGGCGGCCGUAACAAUAACGGUCCUAAGGUAGCGAAAUUCCUUGUCAGGUAAGUUCUGACCCGCACGAAUGGCGUAAUGACUUGGGCACUGUCUCAACUGCAAAUCCGGCGAAGUUGUAGUGCGAGUGAAGAUGCUCGCUACCCGCGAUUGGACGGAAAGACCCCGUAGAGCUUUACUGUAGCUUAGCAUUGAAUUCCGGUAUUGUCUGUACAGGAUAGGUGGGGGACUGGGAAACUAGGGCGUCAGCCUUAGUGGAGUCAACCUUGGGAUACCACCCUGACAGUACUGGGGUUCUAACAGGACGCCAUGAAUCUGGUGACUGGACAUUGUUAGGUGGGCAGUUUGACUGGGGCGGUCGCCUCCUAAAAAGUAACGGAGGCGCCCAAAGGUUCCCUCAGAACGUUCGGAAAUCGUUCGUAGAGUGCAAAGGCAGAAGGGAGCCUGACUGCGAGACAUACAAGUCGAGCAGGGACGAAAGUCGGGCUUAGUGAUCCGGUGGUACCUCGUGGGAGGGCCAUCGCUCAACGGAUAAAAGCUACCUCGGGGAUAACAGGCUGAUCUCCCCCAAGAGUCCACAUCGACGGGGAGGUUUGGCACCUCGAUGUCGGCUCGUCGCAUCCUGGGGCUGUAGUAGGUCCCAAGGGUUGGGCUGUUCGCCCAUUAAAGCGGCACGCGAGCUGGGUUCAGAACGUCGUGAGACAGUUCGGUCCCUAUCCGUCGCGGGCGUAGGAAAUUUGAGAGGAGCUGUCCUUAGUAAGAGAGGACCGGGAUGGACUGACCUCUGGUGCACCAGUUGUUCCGCCAGGAGCAUGGCUGGGUAGCUAAGUCGGGAAGGGAUAAACGCUGAAAGCAUCUAAGCGUGAAGCCUCCCUCAAGAUGAGAUUUCCCAUAGCAUAAGCUAGUAAGACCCCUUGAAGAACACAAGGUUGAUAGGUCAGAGGUGUAAGUGCGGUAACGUAUUUAGCUGACUGAUACUAAUAGGUCGAGGGCUUGAUC
This 1390-nucleotide ribosomal RNA is filed under the name metagenome. Its description in RNAcentral is "bacterial LSU rRNA". It matches the Rfam family "Bacterial large subunit ribosomal RNA", at positions 1521 to 2925 of the family's 2925-position model. The record is from RNAcentral.